GACGAACGCUGGCGGCGUGCUUAACACAUGCAAGUCGAGCGGUAAGGCCCUUUCGGGGGUACACGAGCGGCGAACGGGUGAGUAACACGUGGGUGACCUGCCCUUAGCUCUGGGAUAAGCCUGGGAAACUGGGUCUAAUACCGGAUAUGACUCCAUGACGCAUGUUGUGGGGUGGAAAGCCUUGUGCGGCUAGGGAUGGGCCCGCGGCCUAUCAGCUUGUUGGUGGGGUGAUGGCCUACCAAGGCGACGACGGGUAGCCGGCCUGAGAGGGCGACCGGCCACACUGGGACUGAGACACGGCCCAGACUCCUACGGGAGGCAGCAGUGGGGAAUCCUGCGCAAUGGGCGAAAGCCUGACGCAGCGACGCCGCGUGAGGGAUGACGGCCU
RNAcentral lists this ribosomal RNA (388 nucleotides) under uncultured bacterium. RNAcentral's name for it is "bacterial SSU rRNA". It matches the Rfam family "Bacterial small subunit ribosomal RNA", at positions 28 to 417 of the family's 1533-position model. The record is from RNAcentral.